RNAcentral lists this ribosomal RNA (253 nucleotides) under uncultured bacterium. Its description in RNAcentral is "partial 16S ribosomal RNA". It matches the Rfam family "Bacterial small subunit ribosomal RNA", at positions 524 to 776 of the family's 1533-position model. The record is from RNAcentral.
UACGGAGGGUGCGAGCGUUGUCCGGAAUCACUGGGCGUAAAGGGCGCGUAGGCGGCGCGGAUAGUCGGCGGUGAAAGCCCGGAGCUCAACUCCGGGUCGGCCGUCGAUACUUCCGGGCUUGAGCACUGUAGAGGCAGAUGGAAUUCCGGGUGUAGCGGUGGAAUGCGUAGAGAUCCGGAGGAACACCGGUGGCGAAGGCGGUCUGCUGGGCAGUUGCUGACGCUGAUGCGCGACAGCGUGGGGAGCAAACAGG